This 24-nucleotide non-coding RNA is filed under the name Arabidopsis thaliana (thale cress). The record is from RNAcentral. Lineage: Eukaryota; Viridiplantae; Streptophyta; Magnoliopsida; Brassicales; Brassicaceae.
CCUAGUUUGUUUGUCAUCGCCGCC